AUUGAACGCUGGCGGCAGGCCUAACACAUGCAAGUCGAGCGAGCGGCGGACGGGUGAGUAAUGUAUGGGGACUGCCCGAUAGAGGGGGAUAACUACUGGAAACGGUGGCUAAUACCGCAUACUCUCGGAUAACCCAUAUGGGAUUAGCUAGUAGGUGGGGUAAAGGGUCACCGAGGCGACGAUCUCUAGCUGGUCUGAGAGGAGGAUCAGCCACACUGGGACUGAGACACGUCCCAGACCCCUACGCUGGCAGCAGUGGGGAAUAUGGCAGAAUGGGCGCAAACCUGAUGCAGCCAUGCCGCUGGUAUUAAGAAGGCCUGAGGGUUGUAAAGUACUUUCAGCGGGGAGGCGUUACCCGCAGAAGAAGCACCGGCUAACUCCGUGCCAGCAGCCGCGGUAAUAC
Molecule: ribosomal RNA, 403 nt
Filed under: uncultured bacterium
Lineage: Bacteria
Description: partial 16S ribosomal RNA
Rfam family: Bacterial small subunit ribosomal RNA
Source: RNAcentral